UACAGAGACUGCGAGCGUUAUUCGGAUUCACUGGGCGUAAAGGGUGCGCAGGCGGCCAAGUGUGUGAGGCGUGAAAGCCUGGGGCUUAACUCCAGAAUUGCACCUCAAACUACAUGGCUAGAGCAUUGGAGAGGGUAGCAGAAUUCACGGUGUAGCAGUGAAAUGCGUAGAUAUCCGGAAGAACACCUGAGGCGAAGGCGGCUUGCUGGGCAUGAUCUGACGCUGAGGCGCGAAAGCGUGGGGAGCAAACAGG
Molecule: ribosomal RNA, 253 nt
Filed under: uncultured bacterium
Lineage: Bacteria
Description: partial 16S ribosomal RNA
Rfam family: Bacterial small subunit ribosomal RNA
Source: RNAcentral